Molecule: long non-coding RNA, 2515 nt
Filed under: Marmota monax (woodchuck)
Lineage: Eukaryota; Metazoa; Chordata; Mammalia; Rodentia; Sciuridae
Source: RNAcentral
UCUUUAAAAUGUAAGUUCCCUCAUGAGUACACUUUUGGGAGCAAUGGCUAGUUUACUAUCUCAAUUAUGGGGAUGGUUUCAUGGGUAUUUUUGAAUAUCAAAACUUUUCAAAUGGUAUACUUGAUGUGCAAUUCAUUGUGUGUUGAUUAUACUUUAAUAGAGCUGUUUUUAAAAUAGCAAUUAUGUGAUGCAAUUAAAAUAUUUGUAAUAUUAUCUACAGCGACUCUAUAGUGACUUUGUCUUAUGUGAUUCCAUUACAUUGUUCAAGUAUGAUAUUCAAAAUUCAUGGUCAUUUUUGAGUGUAUUUCUUUGAAAAUUUUGCUUUGCCUCAGAACAAAAAAAAAGUCUCUAAAUUAAAACUAAGAGUUACAAUGACUCAAGAAAUGUUUUAUAAUCUGGCAUUGCUGAAAAUAUAACACAAAAUUUGCAAAGAUGCUGUUUAUAACAAUGUAGUGAUUUUUGUUAAAAUAAGCCUCCAGUAUUCUACAUGAAUAUUGCCAACUCCAAAAUACCUCCCUAACCACCCAGAACUCAACAGAAUACUAUUCCUGUAUGGAAACAUGGAGUUAGAGCUUUAUUUCCACUCAUUCUUGCCUUCUGGGUGGGCAUCAAUGGGCCCCAUCUCGACACAGUGCCUCUUGCAGAGUUGGGACUCUAAAGGCAUUUGUUUGUGAAACACUGGGAGGGCCUGGAUAUCCUCCCUCUGGACUCUGGAACCUCAGGAGAGGGGUACCUGACCAGAAAACCUCAGAAUUCUAUCCAUGAAGACCAAAUACAUGGCACUCUUUCACUUUCAUAGUUUUUCCUUCCCAAAUAGAAGUCCCUCCAACCUCUGGUGGCAGCAGCUCUGGGUAAAGGUCAACUUUUAGGAGGAAUGGGCCUCUCAAAGAAUAGGCCCAAACCCACAGAAGCAUCACAGGUCACUUGGGUUUCGGCUGUUCGAGCAAGGUUAGUUACAAUUGGGCAACUAUUUCAAUGUUUAUUCUUAGAAAUUCCCAGGGCUUGAAGUGCUGACAAAAUUGGCCCACACCAGGGAUCACCCAGGGUGCUCAGACAUGGCUAGUCUGCAAGCUCCUCAAGGACAAGUGUGACCUUAAUCUAGCACUGUACUGUCAGUGCCCAGCACAGAGCAGGUGCCCAAAAACCACACUGUGGGGAAAUCGGUGAAUUCUAUUGUGUGAGAAUUUGCUCUGUGUGCCUGGUAAAGAUACGUUGUCUUCAUUUGUUUUUACAAUUACCCUUUGAAACAGGUGUUCAUCAUUUUACAAAGCAGGGAAUGGUGGCACAGACAGGUGAAGUAAUUUGCCUGAGUCAUUAAGAGGUUGGUUUUCUCCAAGAAGUCAUCUUUCAAGAUUUUGUCUACGGCCAUACCACCCUGAACGCGCCCAAUCUCGUCUCAUCUUUCAAGAUUUUGAAAUAAUAGCCUGGAUGACCACUGCUGUUUUGGAGGCCAAUUAAUUAUAUUCUCUUAUUGGAGGAGCCCUGUGUUCUCCCCUCAGAGCAUGAUCCCCACUGUCCCUGGUCUCUCUGCUGUCCAGGUACUGUCCUCUCUGCUCUUUCUUGCCACUCUGGCACUGCAUGGUCUCAGUCCCUCUCCAUUCUCCAGGCUCUCCUCUUGCCUCUCUGUUAGCUGUUCUUCCUCUGCCCACUUGCUCUAAGGGCAGGUGUUCCCCAAGGCUUCUCCCUGACACUCUUUCUCCUUCUACCCCCUCUCUCUGGGACAUUCUCUCAUACUUGUUAUGACCAGCUCAGACCUCUCCAGGAGACAACCACCUAGGCCCUGAUGAUUGUUGCUAGUUAGUCCCUCCCUGAGAAUGUAGCUUCUGCUCUCAGACAUUCACUAGCUCCCCAAGGUCAACAAAAGGGGAACAAACUUCUCCCCAAGGUAUUCAGGGCUCUGGUAUACCUGCCUUCAUUUUCCUCCCAAUUCAGAAUCUUCCUCUAUCUGAGCCCUGUGCUCUUUGCCUUUAUUCUGCUGUCCCUUCAAUAUGGCUUCCCUCCCUGCGACCUUUGCUCAAGGUACUUCUACCUUACUGGUCUAUAACGUACAUGCUCCUCCUCCAAGAAGUCCUUCCUGACACCCUUCCCUACCUAGUGUGCCUUCUCUUUCUUUGGGGGACUCCAUGGAAAACCAUGCCAGCAUUCCUUGGGUGACACCUACUUCUGUGCUUGCUUUGAUUCUAUCACCCUGAGUCAGAAAGGAAGCCUAGCACUGGGAGUCAGGCAACAAGGCUCAUUCUAUGCUGUUUAGUGUUACCUAUUCAUCUAAGAGUUCCCCAGUGUAAAAAUGAAGUGAUAGGACCGCAUCAGCAUUUCUCAAAUUUCAUUUGAGUACCACCAUGCUUGCUUUUAUUCUUGAACCACAAGUAUCAUAUGCUUAUUUAUCUUUUUAAAAUCUAAAUUAAAAGUAUACUUUAUAUUGUUUACUGUGACUGCAAAACAAAGGUCAUAUGUAAUAAAGGUUACAGUAAAAAAAAACUAAGGUAACCACGAAAAUAAACACAUAACGGAUAAA